GACGAACGCUGGCGGCGUGCCUAAUACAUGCAAGUAGAACGCACAGUUUAUACCGUAGCUUGCUACACCAUAGACUGUGAGUUGCGAACGGGUGAGUAACGCGUAGGUAACCUGCCUGGUAGCGGGGGAUAACUAUUGGAAACGAUGGCUAAUACCGCAUAAUAUUGAUUAUUGCAUGAUAAUUGAUUGAAAGAUGCUAUUGCAUCACUACCAGAUGGACCUGCGUUGUAUUAGCUAGUAGGUGAGGUAACGGCUCACCUAGGCGACGAUACAUAGCCGACCUGAGAGGGUGAUCGGCCACACUGGGACUGAGACACGGCCCAGACUCCUACGGGAGGCAGCAGUAGGGAAUCUUCGGCAAUGGACGAAAGUCUGACCGAGCAACGCCGCGUGAGUGAAGAAGGUUUUCGGAUCGUAAAGCUCUGUUGUAAGAGAAGAACGGGUGUGAGAGUGGAAAGUUCACACUGUGACGGUAUCUUACCAGAAAGGGACGGCUAACUACGUG
Molecule: ribosomal RNA, 505 nt
Filed under: uncultured bacterium
Lineage: Bacteria
Description: partial 16S ribosomal RNA
Rfam family: Bacterial small subunit ribosomal RNA
Source: RNAcentral